GAGUUUGAUCUUGGCUCAGAUUGAACGCUGGCGGCAUGCCUUACACAUGCAAGUCGAACGGCAGCAUGAUCUAGCUUGCUAGAUUGAUGGCGAGUGGCGAACGGGUGAGUAAUACAUCGGAACGUGCCCUGUAGUGGGGGAUAACUAGUCGAAAGAUUAGCUAAUACCGCAUACGACCUGAGGGUGAAAGUGGGGGACCGCAAGGCCUCAUGCUAUAGGAGCGGCCGAUGUCUGAUUAGCUAGUUGGUGGGGUAAAGGCCCACCAAGGCGACGAUCAGUAGCUGGUCUGAGAGGACGAUCAGCCACACUGGGACUGAGACACGGCCCAGACUCCUACGGGAGGCAGCAGUGGGGAAUUUUGGACAAUGGGGGCAACCCUGAUCCAGCAAUGCCGCGUGUGUGAAGAAGGCCUCGGUU
RNAcentral lists this ribosomal RNA (417 nucleotides) under uncultured microorganism. RNAcentral's name for it is "bacterial SSU rRNA". It matches the Rfam family "Bacterial small subunit ribosomal RNA", at positions 9 to 424 of the family's 1533-position model. The record is from RNAcentral.